This 21-nucleotide non-coding RNA is filed under the name Caenorhabditis elegans. The record is from RNAcentral. Lineage: Eukaryota; Metazoa; Nematoda; Chromadorea; Rhabditida; Rhabditidae.
UUUUUUUUUCUGUGUUUAUUA